RNAcentral lists this ribosomal RNA (468 nucleotides) under uncultured bacterium. RNAcentral's name for it is "partial 16S ribosomal RNA". It matches the Rfam family "Bacterial small subunit ribosomal RNA", at positions 28 to 507 of the family's 1533-position model. The record is from RNAcentral.
GACGAACGCUGGCGGCGUGCUUAACACAUGCAAGUCGAACGGAAAGGCCCUGCUUUUGUGGGGUGCUCGAGUGGCGAACGGGUGAGUAACACGUGAGUAACCUGCCCUUGACUUUGGGAUAACUCCAGGAAACUGGGGCUAAUACCGGAUAGGAGCUCCUGCUGCAUGGUGGGGGUUGGAAAGUUUCGGCGGUUGGGGGUGGACUCGCGGCUUACCAGCUUGUGGGUGGGGUAGUGGCUUACCAGGGCUUUGACGGGUAGCCGGCCUGAGAGGGUGACCGCGCACAUUGGGCCUGAGGUAGGGCGCAGACUGCUACGGGAGGCAACAGUGGGGAAUAUUGCACAAUGGGCGGGAGCCUGAUGCGGCGGCGCCGCGGGCGGGAUGACGGCCUUCGGGUUGUAAACCGCUUUCGCCUGUGACGAAGCGUGAGUGACGGUAAUGGGUAAAGAAGCACCGGCUAACUACGUG